GACGAACGCUGGCGGCGUGCCUAAUACAUGCAAGUAGAACGCUGAGGUUUGGUGUUUACACUAGACUGAUGAGUUGCGAACGGGUGAGUAACGCGUAGGUAACCUGCCUCAUAGCGGGGGAUAACUAUUGGAAACGAUAGCUAAUACCGCAUAAGAGUAAUUAACACAUGUUAGUUAUUUAAAAGGAGCAAUUGCUUCACUGUGAGAUGGACCUGCGUUGUAUUAGCUAGUUGGUGAGGUAAAGGCUCACCAAGGCGACGAUACAUAGCCGACCUGAGAGGGUGAUCGGCCACACUGGGACUGAGACACGGCCCAGACUCCUACGGGAGGCAGCAGUAGGGAAUCUUCGGCAAUGGACGGAAGUCUGACCGAGCAGCGCCGCGUGAGUGAAGAAGGUUUUCGGAUCGUAAAGCUCUGUUGUUAGAGAAGAACGUUGGUAGGAGUGGAAAAUCUACCAAGUGACGGUAACUAACCAGAAAGGGACGGCUAACUACGUGCCAGCAGCCGCGGUAAUACGUAGGUCCCGAGCGUUGUCCGGAUUUAUUGGGCGUAAAGCGAGCGCAGGCGGUUCUUUAAGUCUGAAGUUAAAGGCAGUGGCUUAACCAUUGUACGCUUUGGAAACUGGAGGACUUGAGUGCAGAAGGGGAGAGUGGAAUUCCAUGUGUAGCGGUGAAAUGCGUAGAUAUAUGGAGGAACACCGGUGGCGAAAGCGGCUCUCUGGUCUGUAACUGACGCUGAGGCUCGAAAGCGUGGGGAGCAAACAGG
RNAcentral lists this ribosomal RNA (765 nucleotides) under uncultured Streptococcus sp. Its description in RNAcentral is "bacterial SSU rRNA". It matches the Rfam family "Bacterial small subunit ribosomal RNA", at positions 28 to 776 of the family's 1533-position model. Lineage: Bacteria; Bacillati; Bacillota; Bacilli; Lactobacillales; Streptococcaceae. The record is from RNAcentral.